Molecule: ribosomal RNA, 457 nt
Filed under: uncultured bacterium
Lineage: Bacteria
Description: bacterial SSU rRNA
Rfam family: Bacterial small subunit ribosomal RNA
Source: RNAcentral
UACGGAAGGCAGCAGUGGGGAAUAUUGCACAAUGGGCGAAAGCCUGAUGCAGCUAUGCCGCGUGUAUGAAGAAGGCCUUAGGGUUGUAAAGUACUUUCAUCGGGGAGGAAAAACAAAACUAAUAAUUUUAUUUCUUGACGUUACCCGAAAAAGAAGCACCGGCUAACUCCGUGCCAGCAGCCGCGGUAAUACGGAGGGUGCUAGCGUUAAUCAGAAUUACUGGGCGUAAAAGAGCACGUAGGUGGUUUUUUUAAGUCAGAUGUGAAAUCCCUGGGCUUAACCUAGGAACUGCAUUUUGAAACUGAAAUACUAGAGUAUCGUAGAGGGAGGUAGAAUUCUAGGUGUAGCGGUGAAAUGCGUAGAUAUCUGGAGGAAUACCUGUGGCGAAAGCGGCCUCCUAAACGAAUACUGACACUGAGGUGCGAAAAGCGUGGGGAGCAAACAGGGAUUAGAUACC